Molecule: ribosomal RNA, 301 nt
Filed under: uncultured bacterium
Lineage: Bacteria
Description: partial 16S ribosomal RNA
Rfam family: Bacterial small subunit ribosomal RNA
Source: RNAcentral
CAGUCGCCACGGGAAUACAGAGGGUGCGAGCGUUAAUCGGAUUUACUGGGCGUAAAGCGUGCGUAGGCGGCUUCUUAAGUCGGAUGUGAAAUCCCUGAGCUUAACUUAGGAAUUGCAUUCGAUACUGGGAAGCUAGAGUAUGGGAGAGGAUGGUAGAAUUCCAGGUGUAGCGGUGAAAUGCGUAGAGAUCUGGAGGAAUACCGAUGGCGAAGGCAGCCAUCUGGCCUAAUACUGACGCUGAGGUACGAAAGCAUGGGGAGCAAACAGGAUUAGAUACCCGGGUAGUCCAUGUCUCUUAUAA